This 611-nucleotide ribosomal RNA is filed under the name uncultured Kribbella sp. Its description in RNAcentral is "bacterial SSU rRNA". It matches the Rfam family "Bacterial small subunit ribosomal RNA", at positions 69 to 697 of the family's 1533-position model. The record is from RNAcentral. Lineage: Bacteria; Bacillati; Actinomycetota; Actinomycetes; Propionibacteriales; Kribbellaceae.
GUAAGGCCCUUCGGGGUACACGAGCGGCGAACGGGUGAGUAACACGUGAGCAACCUACCCUCAACUUCGGGAUAAGCCUCGGAAACGGGGUCUAAUACCGGAUAUCACUCCUUACUUCAUGGUUUGGGGUUGAAAGUUCUGGCGGUUGGGGAUGGGCUCGCGGCCUAUCAGCUUGUUGGUGGGGUAAUGGCCUACCAAGGCGUCGACGGGUAGCCGGCCUGAGAGGGCGACCGGCCACACUGGGACUGAGACACGGCCCAGACUCCUACGGGAGGCAGCAGUGGGGAAUAUUGCGCAAUGGGCGAAAGCCUGACGCAGCAACGCCGCGUGAGGGAUGACGGCCUUCGGGUUGUAAACCUCUUUCAGCAGGGACGAAGCGAGAGUGACGGUACCUGCAGAAGAAGGACCGGCCAACUACGUGCCAGCAGCCGCGGUAAUACGUAGGGUCCGAGCGUUGUCCGGAAUUAUUGGGCGUAAAGGGCUCGUAGGCGGUUCGUCACGUCGGGAGUGAAAACUCGGAGCUUAACUCCGAGCCUGCUUCCGAUACGGGCAGACUAGAGGUAGGCAGGGGAGAGCGGAACUCCUGGUGUAGCGGUGGAAUGCGCAGAUAU